UCUCGCUUGGUUGCAUUUGAAAAAGCUCAAAAUCAUACAAUAAAAUGUUAACUUUCGAGUCUUUGACUCUACUAGUUCCUUCGUGCGUGAUUUCAAGUGUUCGCCAAAUAUCAAAAGCCGUUUCGCACGUAGAAAUCCGAUUGAACUCAUUUUUGUCCAAAGCGCAAAAUAAGGCAUUCAUAGCCUUUGCGUUUAAAUAAAAAUAUUUCUUCUCCAAAUUCGACCAUUCGUUCAUCGGUUUAGAGGGAAGUUGAAAACCGUUUUCAAU
RNAcentral lists this long non-coding RNA (268 nucleotides) under Musa acuminata (dwarf banana). RNAcentral describes it as "long non-coding RNA (MACU_LNC008599)". The record is from RNAcentral. Lineage: Eukaryota; Viridiplantae; Streptophyta; Magnoliopsida; Zingiberales; Musaceae.